RNAcentral lists this ribosomal RNA (403 nucleotides) under uncultured bacterium. RNAcentral's name for it is "bacterial SSU rRNA". It matches the Rfam family "Bacterial small subunit ribosomal RNA", at positions 355 to 775 of the family's 1533-position model. The record is from RNAcentral.
UGGGGAAUUUUGCGCAAUGGGGGAAACCCUGACGCAGCAACGCCGCGUGGAGGAUGAAGUAUCUUGGUACGUAAACUCCUUUCGAUGGGGAAGAUAAUGACGGUACCCAUAGAAGAAGCCCCGGCUAACUUCGUGCCAGCAGCCGCGGUAAUACGAGGGGGGCAAGCGUUGUUCGGAAUUAUUGGGCGUAAAGGGUGCGUAGGCGGUUCAGCAAGUCUUGUGUGAAAUCUUCGGGCUCAACCCGAAGUCUGCAUAGGAAACUACUGGGCUUGAGUAUUGGAGAGGUGAGUGGAAUUUCCGGUGUAGCGGUGAAAUGCGUAGAUAUCGGAAGGAACACCUGUGGCGAAAGCGGCUCACUGGACAAUUACUGACGCUGAUGCACGAAAGCUAGGGGAGCAAACAG